This 260-nucleotide ribosomal RNA is filed under the name uncultured bacterium. RNAcentral describes it as "partial 16S ribosomal RNA". It matches the Rfam family "Bacterial small subunit ribosomal RNA", at positions 95 to 353 of the family's 1533-position model. The record is from RNAcentral.
GUGGCGGACGGGUGAGUAACGCGUGGGUAACCUGCCCUGUACAGGGGGAUAACAGUCGGAAAUGACUGCUAAUACCGCAUAAGACCACAGCACCGCAUGGUGCAGGGGUAAAAACUCCGGUGGUACAGGAUGGACCCGCGUCUGAUUAGCUGGUUGGUGAGGUAACGGCUCACCAAGGCGACGAUCAGUAGCCGGCUUGAGAGAGUGAACGGCCACAUUGGGACUGAGACACGGCCCAAACUCCUACGGGAGGCAGCAUG